RNAcentral lists this ribosomal RNA (465 nucleotides) under uncultured bacterium. RNAcentral's name for it is "partial 16S ribosomal RNA". It matches the Rfam family "Bacterial small subunit ribosomal RNA", at positions 338 to 795 of the family's 1533-position model. The record is from RNAcentral.
CCUACGGGAGGCAGCAGUGGGGAAUAUUGCGCAAUGGGCGAAAGCCUGACGCAGCGACGCCGCGUGAGGGAUGAAGGUCUUCGGAUCGUAAACCUCUGUCAGCAGGGAAGAACGGUCACUGUGCUAAUCAGCAGUGAAUUGACGGUACCUGCAAAGGAAGCACCGGCUAACUCCGUGCCAGCAGCCGCGGUAAUACGGAGGGUGCGAGCGUUAAUCGGAAUUACUGGGCGUAAAGCGCUCGUAGGCGGUAUGUCAAGUCAAGGGUGAAAUCCCCGCGCUCAACGUGGGAACUGCCUUUGAAAAUGGCAAACUGGAGUGUGUGAGAGGGUAGUGGAAUUCCAGGUGUAGGAGUGAAAGCCGUAGAUAUCUGGAGGAACAUCAGUGGCGAAGGCGACUAUCUGGCACAUAACUGACGCUGAGGAGCGAAAGCGUGGGUAGCAAACAGGAUUAGAUACCCUGGUAGUC